RNAcentral lists this ribosomal RNA (405 nucleotides) under uncultured bacterium. RNAcentral describes it as "partial 16S ribosomal RNA". It matches the Rfam family "Bacterial small subunit ribosomal RNA", at positions 30 to 526 of the family's 1533-position model. The record is from RNAcentral.
AUUGAACGCUGGCGGCAGGCUUAACACAUGCAAGUCGAACGAGUGGCGGACGGGUGAGUAAUGCUUGGGAAUCUAGCUUAUGGAGGGGGAUAACUACGGGAAACUGUAGCUAAUACCGCUUCCCAUAGGAUUAGCCCAAGUGGGAUUAGGUAGUUGGUGAGGUAAAGGCUCACCAAGCCGACGAUCUCUAGCUGGUCUGAGAGGCUGACCAGCCACAAUGGGACUGAGACACGGCCCAGACUCCGACGGGAGGCAGCAGUGGGGAAUAUUGCGCAAUGGGGGCAACCUGACGCAGCCAUGCCGAGUGAAUGAAGAAGGCCUUCGGGUUGUAAAGUCCUUUCGGUAGCGAGGCGUUAACUACAGAAGAAGCACCGGCUAACUCCGUGCCAGCAGCCGCGGUAAUUC